GGGUUUAUGGUUUGCUGGGGGUGGAAUUUUUGAGGUAAAUUUUGGAGAUUUUGGGUUUCUUUUUGGACUUUUAUAGUUUUAAGGCAACAGAGAUGAACGGUGGGAGAAAUUUAAGGUUUUUGGGGUCACUUUGGGGCAUUUCUUGGGUCAUUUUGGGCCGAUUUGGGGUCAUUUUGGGGCACUUUUGGGGGUCAUUGAGGCAGUUUUGGGUCUUUUGGGGUCAGUUUUGGGUUUUUGGGGGUCAAUUUUGUGCCUGGGUCAAUUUUGGGGAUUUUUAGGACCACGUUCUUGGUAAUUUCUGGUCAUUUUUUGGUGUUUUUGGGUCAGUUUGGGGUAUUUUGGCUUUAAUUUGGGGUCAACCUUGGGUCUUUUGUGGGUCGAUUUGAGGCUUUUUGGUCAUUCAGUGGGUUAUUUUUGAUCAAUUUAGGUCGAUUUUGGUGUCUUUUGGGAUCAUUUUGCUGCAUUUUAGACUUUUUUUUGUGUCUUUGGGUGAAUUUUCUGUCGUUCUGGGGAUCAGUUUUGGAUCUUCCUGCGUCUUGGUCAAUUUUGGGCUCUGAUGCUGGAGAACCUCCAGAAGCACUCGACCCCCCACGCCACCUUCCAACCCAACUCGCAGAUCGGGGAGGAGAUGAGCCACAACAGCUUCAUCAAGCAGUACCUGGAGAAGCAGCAGGAGCUGCUGAGGCAGCGGCGCGCCAGGGAGGCCAACCCCGACCGUGAGCCUCUGGGAGCCAAAAUCGGGCGU
Non-coding RNA from Meleagris gallopavo (turkey), 745 nucleotides. Lineage: Eukaryota; Metazoa; Chordata; Aves; Galliformes; Phasianidae. The record is from RefSeq and is a predicted model, not a curated record.